ACCUUAUCCAAUCUGUGAAGUCCUGAUUCUCUUGAAAAUUAUUAUGAAGGCUUCAAAACAGAAAAGACUGUCUCUUGCAUGUCUUGCUAGCCAUGGUGGCCCUCACUACAUCCCCUUCAGUCUACAGUUUAAAAUUAUGAUCAUGGAAACUCUUCUUGCACAUGAAAAUAAUUUGGACAAGCCAGCCAUAAACAACAUGAGGUGUUGCAAUUAGAGAUUUUUAGUUCAGUUUGCAAAAGCUUGCUGACACUCUGGCUGAGUGGUUGAAAUUUCUGGUAUAGCAAGUAAUGAUGACAUUCGAUAAAAAGUUCCUUGAUCAGUCGACACUUGACAGUCCGGCUCUUGUGAUAGCAACGGUGAAGACAUUAAGAAUUUGAGAAUACUGAACUAAUAAAACACUUUAAAUUGA
Amphimedon queenslandica is the source of this 409-nucleotide long non-coding RNA. RefSeq lists it as uncharacterized. The record is from RefSeq and is a predicted model, not a curated record. Lineage: Eukaryota; Metazoa; Porifera; Demospongiae; Haplosclerida; Niphatidae. The transcript is spliced from 4 exons.